Molecule: long non-coding RNA, 1916 nt
Organism: Heterocephalus glaber (naked mole-rat)
Lineage: Eukaryota; Metazoa; Chordata; Mammalia; Rodentia; Bathyergidae
Source: Ensembl
GGUGUGGCUGAGACCAGCCCUCUAGUUCUGGAGCCCCGUCGCGCGGUCCCAGGGCCAGGCAGGGGCGGAGGCGCAGGUGAGAAUUUCUAGGCUUCCCCCCACACAAAGUUCACACCGGAAAUAAAUGUGCAACAGAUCUGAGGCUGCCUGGCUCUUGGAUCUUCUCCCAGUCACUGUCAGGAGCCCUCCAAAGCUCAGAGCCCCACACUGCUACUUGCCGUAAGGAGGUGCGUGAGUAUAUUCCAGCAACCUGGUUAAAAUGUCUUUUUCAGGUGAAAUAUGUUCUGGUGGAAACAACCCAAAUGUCCAACAUAUGAGCCUGGGAAAUUGACCCUGGUAUGUCCAUGUGGGGAAUAUCACAUGAUCAUCAAAAGUGGUGAUGGAAACCUAGGAAGAGAUGGAAAGAUGAUUCUAAUCUAGCAACAUAAAAGGGCAGCUUACAAAGCUGCUCUAUUUUUUUGUUUUGAAAAAUAUUCAAAAAGUAUUUGAAGAGCAUGUAUUAUAACAUUUCUAAUGAUUAUUGCUAAUGGAUUAUGAGAGAUUUUUAUUCCCUGCCCCCUCUGUCUUUUCUAACCUAUGCUUUCUAAAUUUCCUACCAAGAAACAUUUAUUACUCUGUAGCAAAGUAACAGGUUUAAGUCCAAAUCCUAGUCCUAAUGGCCUCAAUGAUCUUGAGGCCAUUGCUUAAUUUCUCCACCUGGGGAGAAUCAUUUUAGGAUUUUGUGAGGAUUAAACAAGCUAACUGUAAGAGGCACUUAGUACAUUUUUAGGCGUUGUCACUAACAAAAUCAUUUUUGCAAAUCUUUCUACUCUGGUAAAACCCAUUCCCAAAGCAGACCAACCACAUCUGGGAGCCACUGGGGCUUUGUCUCAGAAGGCCUGGACUCCAUCCCUCCCCUGCCCUCUCUCUAGGGUGGGCAGCUAGGGCUGAGGGCUGGGAUCCCGCUUUCAGUGCCUGCCAAGAGUUGCUCUGGCAGAUAUCUGGGUUUUGUUAUGCACAGAGAAAUAAUUUGGUGUUGGCAUAAUGGCAUAUUACUUAAAAGCAUGGAUCCUGCAGUCAGUCUGCCUGCCUCUCACAUCUAUUAAUGGGGAGAAAAAUGCCCCCAUGCUCCCAGGGUUCAGGUGAAGAUCAGUGUCACCACAGUGUUGCAGCUUGGGCACGGCAUCUUGACCAAUGCCGACUCUUGCAGCUGCAAUGUCAAGCCUUAGAAAUUCACACAACAUAAAACCAUUUGCAAGUGACCAUCAGCCACCACCUCUAUGUGUUUCAAAGCAUUUUGUCACCUCAAAAAGACUGCUAAUCUCCUGUCUUUCUGGGUAUUCCAUCAAAAUAGAAUCAUAGAAUGAGUGGCCUUUUGUUUGUGGCUUCUGAUUCUCUAACAGCUUAACCAUUUACCAUUCACUGGCAUUAAGUACGUUGUCUCACACACCGUCACCACCAUCUUUUUCCAGAACUUCAGCACCUCACGUAGACCCGGAGGCUGGCCUUUAAAUUCUUACACAGCCUCCUCGGCAAGUGUUAGAAUCCCCAGAGCGUGUGAAAACACAGAUUGCUGCCUCCACCCUGAAUAUUUGCUGCCUUAGAUUUCAGGUCUACGGGACACAGUGGACAGUGGCCUCAGUCAGGGUCAGCCAGGGAAGCCGAGCCAUGUGACCUGUGGAAUGAGGGAUUUGUGGCAGGUGGUGGGAGUGAGGUCUCACACGAACACAGGGGAAACAGAGCAGAGGUGAAAGGAUUGUUGUCAGCAGGGCAUCUCCAGCUGAUCCACUGGAAGUCAGAUGUCCACUUGCAGAGUGGGACAGGAGGGAGGCUGGUGCAAAUGUCUGUCAUCAGCCUUGCAUGGCAGGUCCCCAGCCAAGUGUCCCAUGGUGGCUUGGGCCACUGUGGUCAGCAGGAAGAGCGAUACAGAGUGGAAG